CUUAGGGUGCUCCAAUCCUAUUUGUAAAGAAGAAAGGUGAAUCCAUGAGGAUGUGUAAUGAAUACAAGCACCUGAACAAGGCUACAGUCAAGAACAAACACCCACUACUCCUAUCAUCAGUUGAAGAUUCGAGCUUCGGACAUUCCGAAGAUGGCUUUCAGGACUAGCUGUUGUAACUAUGAGUUUCUGGUGAUGUCUUUUGGGCUGACCAAUGCCCUAACAGCUUUCAUACACUGAACAACGUGUUCCAACCAUACCUUGAUUUCUUCGUUAUCGUGUUCAUUGAUGACAUUUUGGCAUACUAUCGUGGCCGGGAGGAUCAUGAGCAGCACUUGAGGAACGUGCUCCACACUUUGAGGGAGAGGAAGCAAUAUGCUAAAUUCUCCAAGUGCAAGUUUUGGCUUGAUUCAGUGGCAUUCUUGGGCCACUUGGUAUUUAGUGAGGGAAUUAAGGUGUAUCUAAAGAAGAUUGAGGCAGUUCAUAUUUGGCCUAGAUCUACAUCAGCUAUAGAGAUUCGGAGCUUUUUGGGUUUGGUAGGUAACUAUGAGUUUAUGGAGGUUUUUCAUCCAUCGCAGCUCCUUUGUUUUUCCUCUUUGAAGAUGACACACUUAAAAUCUAUUCAUGGGCAGCGCUAAUGGUGAGUCUAGCUAUAGGAACAUACGCGGGACGAAUGCCACGAACAACUUCUUCUUCUUCGUCGUCGUCAGAGGCGCAGGUUUCUUUGUUUUUCCUCUUUGAAGAUGACACACUUAAAAUCUAUUCAUGGGCAGCGCUAAUGGUGAGUCUAGCUAUAGGAACAUACACGGGACGAAUGCCACGAACAACAAAUCCUGAGAAUAAUAGAAGGGGUCAGAAUAAGAGAAGCCAUAAAAACGAAAAUUCAUGGUAAAGUAAAAUAGAAUAUCGUAGGUUUUCACUUUCCAUCCAAACUUUUAAGAAACAAAAUUUUCAAGAUCUUUGAUCCAAAGGGGCGACAAACAACAUUUUUUCUACCCAAUCACGAAAGUCGGAAAGUUCACCAAAAACUUCCAUGGUUACUGAAAAGUAAGAAAAAAUGAAUGAGAAAAUCGAAAUUCUAAAAAAAUAAUGGCAAAGAAAAAUACUCAUGUGCAAAGUUCCACUUAUCAGCAAAAGGCAUGCUUUUAUCACCCAUUAAAUCAUGAGUGGGAACAACCAUGAACUGAGAGUACCAGCCACGUUCACGAUCAUUUUCGGGACUUGUCAUACCUCCUUUUUUCCGAGGGAUCGGGAGUUUUUUCGAUUAAAGUGAUAUUAAUCAAAGUGAGAGUAUUUAUUUAAUUUCAGAGUCGCCACUUGAAAUAAUUUAUGGUGUCCCAAGUCACCGAUUUAUUUUAAAUCCCAAAUCGAGGAAAUUUGACUCUCUUUAAGAGUCUGCAAAAACCAGAAGACCGGGUAAAGAAUUCUGUUAACCCGAGAGAAGGUGUUAGAAAUUUUCGGAUUCCGUGGUUUUAGCACGGUCUCUCAACUAUUAAUAAUUGGCCUAAUUAUGUGAUUUAUUACAUGUUUGAAACCUAUUGUGCCUUUUUUACCUUUCUAACCGCUUUUAGUUUUUCAAACGCUUUUUAGGAUUUAUGGAAUUUGUUUGAACAAGUCGUGAUGUCGCACACUCGUUUAUUUUUUGUACACAUUGCAAAUUGCGUCACGCGAGCCGCACCCACGAUCUACAACAUGUUUAUUUUUAUUAUUGUUUGAAGUUAUGGCCUCAUCACAUGAAACGCACACUCGUAUUGGGAAUUACGUAUCAUGACUAUGCCAUGAGAAUCGUACAUGUAGUCGCGAUGAUUUAUUAUUAAUCGCGCCUAAAGCAACUAGCGAAUUUGAAUUAUUUUCCUAAUCUUUGAGAUUAUUGUGAAGGCCAUAGGUUAUGAAAAUUAUUGUGGGAGGAAUAAAAUAAAUUAGUUAUAGACAAGUGUAUUAGCUUGUGAUCUUAUUGAUAUUUUGGAUCAGUUUCUAUCUAAACCCAUAUAUACUUAAAAAGGGUCAAUUUCUACAUGAUCAAACAGAAUCUUCAAUAUUUCCAAACCAAUUAAUUGUGAAAUGCAACAAAGGUUUAAACUGACAAUUUUAUUACGGCAAAAUGAAACAAAAUAAAGUAAAGUUCAAAGAUACAGAGAUAAACUAAAACAAAAUAUCAUGCUCGGUCUGAUAUUUAUGAAAAGAUACCAUAAAAUGGAGGAGCUUUUUUUACUUGUUUUUCAACUUUUCCUCAUAUUGCCGUGCAGCUAAUUAUCAGUAAUCAUUGCUAUGGCACUAGAUGCACUUAUUCUCUAUAUGAUAAUAGCAAUAUGAUUAUUACAUGAAAUUGUCUGGGAAAGAAAAAUGAGAAAGUGGGGUUGUUGUGAAUGGCAAGUUAAUUUGCUCCUGUUCUGCUUUUCUCUUUAAGGAAUUUAUUUCCAUGCCUAAUAGUUUCUGCUGUGUCAAAAACGUGAACCUUUACAUUGAAAGCAUUCUCGUUCAGUACUAACAAAUUAACGAAAAUAAAAGUAUCAAAAAUUAACAUGGCCAACAGGGAUUUGAUUAAUUACAGAAGAGGAAUUUCAAUUACAGACCCACCAACACAUGAAUCCAUCCAAUUACAUGAAUAAUUAUUCAUUUAUAGUGGCUAAACAUAUAAACAUAAGAAAAUUUCCAAUUACAUGGCCGUGGAUUCCAUUAGGUAAAACGUUAAUAAAAAACGACGGAAGAAAAGCACAUAUUAAACAACAAAAUCAUCUAUUAUGUGACAUACUAACAUAGUUUCAUUCAUAAAAAUUACAACGAAUUAUGUAUGGACUUAGAUCAUACCUAGAUUACCGAAUAAACAGCAAGGAGAGACCAAAUGUGGAACUCAUCAAGCAAUCCCAGCCGAGAAAUAACAGAAUUUCUAGUCGUGCGAAAACAAACAGUGAAACCGAAUAAAGGCUGAGAAGGAAACAAAUGAAGCUGAGCGAAGCAGUAAUCAGCAGCAACGAACUUAACCUUCAGCAGCUUUUAAACCCAGAAAAUCAUUACCCAAAGCUUGUUUUCAGAUCUCUUUUUGAGUUUUUGAAUUUUUGAAAGUUUUCGUUUCUAGCUCUAAGCUGAGUGCUUCUCGUGUGUGAGCCUUCAGAUGUGUGUGUAUCGACUGAUUUUUUAGAAGAGAAAGAGUGAGGUCUAUCCGUCUUCUGCUCUCUUGUUGAAGAUGAGAAGGUGAGAGAUAGAAGAGGGGGUAACGGCGCUAGAUCUUAAGGGCGGGAUCUGAUUAUUUCUUUGAGGGU
RNAcentral lists this long non-coding RNA (3257 nucleotides) under Nicotiana tabacum (common tobacco). RNAcentral describes it as "long non-coding RNA (NTAB_LNC002334)". The record is from RNAcentral. Lineage: Eukaryota; Viridiplantae; Streptophyta; Magnoliopsida; Solanales; Solanaceae.